This 509-nucleotide ribosomal RNA is filed under the name uncultured bacterium. RNAcentral's name for it is "bacterial SSU rRNA". It matches the Rfam family "Bacterial small subunit ribosomal RNA", at positions 21 to 518 of the family's 1533-position model. The record is from RNAcentral.
GGCUCAGGACGAACGCUGGCGGCGUGCCUAACACAUGCAAGUCGAGCGGGGACAUUGACAGAACGGAAGUUUCGGACGGAAGGGAAGAUAAGUGUUCUAGCGGCGGACGGGUGAGUAACGCGUGAACAACCUGUCCUUCACAGGGGGAUAACACAGCGAAAGUUGUACUAAUACCGCAUAAGACCACGGUACCGCAUGGUGCAGGGGUCAAAGGAGGAAUCCGGUGAAGGGUGGGCUCGCGUCCGAUUAGAUAGUUGGUGAGGUAACGGCCCACCAAGUCAACGAUCGGUAGCCGACCUGAGAGGGUGAUCGGCCACAUUGGGACUGAGACACGGCCCAAACUCCUACGGGAGGCAGCAGUGGGGAAUAUUGGGCAAAUGGGGGAAACCCUGACCCAGCAACGCCGCGUGAGGGAAGAAGGUUUUCGGAUCGUAAACCUCUGUCCUAGGUGAAGAGGAAGAGACGGUAGCCUAGGAGGAAGCCCCGGCUAACUACGUGCCAGCCGCCGC